RNAcentral lists this ribosomal RNA (731 nucleotides) under uncultured bacterium. Its description in RNAcentral is "bacterial SSU rRNA". It matches the Rfam family "Bacterial small subunit ribosomal RNA", at positions 771 to 1501 of the family's 1533-position model. The record is from RNAcentral.
AACAGGAUUAGAUACCCUGGUAGUCCACGCUGUAAACGAUGUCGACUUGGAGGUUGUGCCCUUGAGGCGUGGCUUCCGGAGCUAACGCGUUAAGUCGACCGCCUGGGGAGUACGGCCGCAAGGUUAAAACUCAAAUGAAUUGACGGGGGCCCGCACAAGCGGUGGAGCAUGUGGUUUAAUUCGAUGCAACGCGAAGAACCUUACCUACUCUUGACAUCCAGAGAAUUUGCUAGAGAUAGCUCAGUGCCUUCGGGAACUCUGAGACAGGUGCUGCAUGGCUGUCGUCAGCUCGUGUUGUGAAAUGUUGGGUUAAGUCCCGCAACGAGCGCAACCCUUAUCCUUUGUUGCCAGCACGUAAUGGUGGGAACUCAAAGGAGACUGCCGGUGAUAAACCGGAGGAAGGUGGGGAUGACGUCAAGUCAUCAUGGCCCUUACGAGUAGGGCUACACACGUGCUACAAUGGCUUAUACAAAGAGAAGCGACCUCGCGAGAGCAAGCGGACCUCAUAAAGUAUGUCGUAGUCCGGAUUGGAGUCUGCAACUCGACUCCAUGAAGUCGGAAUCGCUAGUAAUCGUGGAUCAGAAUGCCACGGUGAAUACGUUCCCGGGCCUUGUACACACCGCCCGUCACACCAUGGGAGUGGGUUGCAAAAGAAGUAGGUAGCUUAACCUUCGGGAGGGCGCUUACCACUUUGUGAUUCAUGACUGGGGUGAAGUCGUAACAAGGUAACC